ACGGGAGGCAGCAGUGGGGAAUAUUGGGCAAUGGGCGAAAGCCUGACCCAGCGACGCCGCGUGAGGGAAGAAGGUCUUCGGAUUGUAAACCUCUUUCAGCAGGGAAGAAGCAAGUGACGGUACCUGCAGAAGAAGUCACGGCUAACUACGUGCCAGCAGCCGCGGUAAUACGUAGGUGGCGAGCGUUAUCCGGAAUUACUGGGUGUAAAGGGUGUGUAGGCGGAGAAGCAAGUCAGGCGUGAAAUACACGGGCUCAACCCGUGAACUGCGCUUGAAACUGUUUCCCUUGAGAGUGGGAGAGGUAAACGGAAUUCCUGGUGUAGUAGUGAAAUGCGUAGAUAUCAGGAGGAACACCGGUGGCGAAGGCGGUUUACUGGACCACAACUGACGCUGAGACACGAAAGCGUGGGGAGCAAACAGGAUUAGAUACCCUGGUA
RNAcentral lists this ribosomal RNA (437 nucleotides) under uncultured Oscillospiraceae bacterium. RNAcentral's name for it is "partial 16S ribosomal RNA". It matches the Rfam family "Bacterial small subunit ribosomal RNA", at positions 341 to 792 of the family's 1533-position model. The record is from RNAcentral. Lineage: Bacteria; Bacillati; Bacillota; Clostridia; Eubacteriales; Oscillospiraceae.